AUCAUUUUGUGGCUGAUAUGUGUGAUGAGGGGGUUUUCACACUCUUAUGUGGGAUGGGAAACGUCUUUAGAACAGUGGCACUUUACCUGUCUUAUA
Molecule: non-coding RNA, 96 nt
Organism: Papio anubis (olive baboon)
Lineage: Eukaryota; Metazoa; Chordata; Mammalia; Primates; Cercopithecidae
Source: Rfam